UCCUAUGAUGGCAUGAGUGCAUCGGUUGACAAAGGAAGACCAACCAAUGCCAUCUACCUGGACUUCUGCAAGGCCUUUGACAUGGUCCCACAUGACACACUGGUCUCUGAAGUGGAGAGAGAUGGAUUUGAUGGGUGGACCAUUCAGUGGA
Molecule: long non-coding RNA, 151 nt
Organism: Oxyura jamaicensis (ruddy duck)
Lineage: Eukaryota; Metazoa; Chordata; Aves; Anseriformes; Anatidae
Exons: 3
Source: RefSeq, a predicted model, not a curated record